GUGAACGCUGGCGGUAGGCCUAACACAUGCAAGUCGAACGGCAGCACAGUAAGAGCUUGCUCUUACGGGUGGCGAGUGGCGGACGGGUGAGGAAUACAUCGGAAUCUACUUUUUCGUGGGGGAUAACGUAGGGAAACUUACGCUAAUACCGCAUACGACCUACGGGUGAAAGCAGGGGAUCUUCGGACCUUGCGCGAUUGAAUGAGCCGAUGUCGGAUUAGCUAGUUGGCGGGGUAAAGGCCCACCAAGGCGACGAUCCGUAGCUGGUCUGAGAGGAUGAUCAGCCACACUGGAACUGAGACACGGUCCAGACUCCUACGGGAGGCAGCAGUGGGGAAUAUUGGACAAUGGGCGCAAGCCUGAUCCAGCCAUACCGCGUGGGUGAAGAAGGCCUUCGGGUUGUAAAGCCCCUUUGUUGGGAAAGAAAAGCAGCAGGUUAAUACCCCGCUGUUCUGACGGUACCCAAAGAAUAAGCACCGGCUAACUUCGUG
RNAcentral lists this ribosomal RNA (491 nucleotides) under uncultured bacterium. RNAcentral's name for it is "partial 16S ribosomal RNA". It matches the Rfam family "Bacterial small subunit ribosomal RNA", at positions 29 to 507 of the family's 1533-position model. The record is from RNAcentral.